RNAcentral lists this long non-coding RNA (2884 nucleotides) under Helianthus annuus (common sunflower). The record is from RNAcentral. Lineage: Eukaryota; Viridiplantae; Streptophyta; Magnoliopsida; Asterales; Asteraceae.
UUUGUGCUUCUCACCCACCCAUAAAUCUAUGGGUUCCAUCUCCAAAUAAAAAAUGCAAGAGAGUAGAUGCCUCCUACGAUUGACAGAGUGAGCAGGGGUUAUUUAAUUGAUAUAGGGUUCCACCCACGGGUUCAAGGUAAUUAAGUUCUUAACUCACCAAGCCAUGGCGUCGUGUACAAUCUUAGCCCGAAGGAUUGCGGCGGAGCUUUGUUCCUCGUGUAAAUAGUAAGGGUUUCAUCAUCAUUAGGGCUGGAGUCGACGAAUAAGAAUAAGAACGGUCAAAAGUCAACAACUGGGAUGUGUAUGGUUUUAGAUUCUCCUUUAGCAUACAACCUUAUCCAGGUCUCAAAUUGAAACCUCGAAGGAAAUGAAGUGGAGCUCGGGUUGGUAAGUCGUUCAUCAUCGAUCAUUAGGUAACAAUUCACAAUCUCAAGUCACCUAACUGACUCGCCAUUUCAAAAUUUUAUCAAUUAAUACCUAGAAGAUGUAUAUGGUUGGGUUUGAGAUACUCCAUGAAACCAAUUUUGAAAUUACGAUUUUCGCAAAGUAAUCGGCAAGUGGGUUGCCUUCAGUUGUACCAGUUCUAGAGUAGUGUGUUAGAAGUUUUUAAAAUUACGAUUUCUAAUAAUAUUGCAAAUGAUCAUUGUCAUUUGGAUUACCUUACUUUGAUCCUUAUUCUUUUCUUUUAUGUUUUACAAGUACAAUUAUGACAAUCUUAAAGAACAGAGUGAAAAGUAUUUAGAUAGCUGGAAGCUAAAAUAGAUCAUUGCCACUAAAGUUGUACUUGGUGGUUACUUAAGCUUCAAUGACACUUAUUCUUCUGGAUCAUGAAUGAUACCGACUUUUUCUCUGGUGAGUAACACAUGGCUAUAGUAUCUUCAAGAAAUUUGGCUCUUUUUUUCCUGCACUUUCUGUAGCAAAAUGCAAAAACCAUAAGAAUCGAUCAACACCAAUUCAAAACUUGCAAAAUGGAAACAAGCCCGACAACUAUUGAUAAACAAGAAGCUGUUAUAACCUACAAUGAAGACAUUUCCCGGGCUAAGGCGAAGCGUUAUGAGAAGGAAUAACUGAAAGAAAGGUGUGCUAAGCUUCUUUUAGGAUAAGAUAUCUUGUGGAAUAACAUAUGUCAGGUGGUGGCAAAGGCACUUCAUCUGCUUUGGCUUUAUAAAAUGCCAUUCAAAUCUUGCUGGUACUCUUUAUUUGUGAUUAAAAAGUUGUUUAAUUAAAUGGUUUUUGUUCAUUUUUAAUGUUUUUUAGUUAAACUUCUUAAUCUUUAUCUAAAAAGAUGUUUAAUUUAAUGAUUUUUGUUGUUAAUUUUUCAAUGUUUUUUUAGUUAAAUUUGUAGCUUCUGCGAUUAGAGAGCAGCAUAAAGUGCUCUAAUGUUGGAAGAUAUGAAAACAAGAUGGGUAAGAAAAGAUGGUCAGAACGGGUCAAAUUUAGAGAGCAACAUAAAGUGCUCUAAUGUUACCACUUUGUAGUCUUCAAAACGGGUCAAAUUUACCAUCUUUUAGUAAACGGGUCAAGGUACCGCGUUUGUAAACGGGUAAAAAUCAACAUUUUUUAAGCGGGUCAAGAUUACAAUUUAUAGUAACCGGAUUAAAUUAUCACUUUUAGGUGACCGGGUCACAUGAGCAUUUUGGUAAAAGGGACAACAUUACCAUUUUUGCGGAUGGGACAAAAUUACCAUCUUUAGUAAAGGGGUCAGGUUUACCGUGUUAGUAAGGGGUGAAAGUUACCGUUUUUAGUAAACGGGUCAGAAGGAGAUACUUUAUUAAACGCGCCAAACUCAUCCUUUUUGGUAAUCAGGUCAAACUCUUUUUUUGUAGUAAAUGAGUCAAAAUACCAUUUUUUGGUGAACUGGUCAAAAUUAUAAUUUUAGUAAACAUGUCAAAAUUGUCGCUCUUAGUAAGCGAGUCAAAUUCAUCGUUUUUAGUAAUCGAGUCAAAUUACCAUUUUUAGUGAACGGGUCGAAAUUAUAAUUUCAGUAAACGGGUCAAACAUAUCAUAUUUAGUAAACACGUGGGUCGAAAUUGUAAUUUUAGUAAACGGGUCAAACAUAUCAUAUUUAGUAAACACGUGGGUUAAAAUUAUAACUUUAGAAAACGGGUCAAACAUGUUUAGCCACGCCGGAACUUUAAUGGGUUUUUUAUAACAUUUAUUGAUCAGCAUGCACUAUAUAAUGGGGAGCAUCAAUCGGAAGAUAAAAAAGAAAAAGGGGCCAAAACUUUAUAUGCUCUAGGAAACCGAAGCAACAAGCACCUAGUGGCAUGGGAAGAAUUUGAAGCGCCCGAUGUCGGCUGAUCUCACGCAUGUGAUGUGACCAAUGAAGAUUAGUGAGUAUCUCUUUUUUUAGUUAUAUACUUUGAGGAUAAAUCGUGCAACUAUGGGUUUCAGGUCAUUUGUGAUGAUGAUGUUAGGGAAAAUAUACCUGCUAUGGUUUCUUGCAAUGAGGAUACACAAGAAGUAAUUGCUACCAAAAUAUGGUUAAUAAACAGUAAGAUAAAACCUUGUGUUUUAACAAGUCAAUUUGAGUCAGGUUAUGGUGUGCUUGGGCAAGGUUGGAGGUACAAGUAGGAGGGGUUGAAGCCAUGAAUUUUGUUGAAAAAUGGCAAGAACCCAAGGGAUUUAAUUUUUACUAGAUUACAUUGUGGGAACAAUUAAUUUGGUCUGCGCAGUGUUAAUGAAAAGACAUAGAAGCUAAGGAUGAGAAUUGGCAGGGGGCUGGCUUUGAGAGACUAGAGAAAACUUUCAUUUGGAGCAAGACACCAACUGACAUAGUGGAGUAUAUGGCAAGAUGAGUCUGUGUGAGUGCUAAUAAUAUUAAUAUUCCUAGAAGGUCAUUACAAUGAUGGAAGUUUUUAAAGAUUACAAGAGAAUUAUUAUU